AAAAUAAGCUGGCUUAUCGCUUUGGGCGUAUAUAAACUGACCAAAGAGGAAAGUCCGGGCAAUAUAGAGCACCCUACUUCCUAACAGGAAGGCGUAGGGAGUAAGUUCCGUGCGACAGCAAGUGCUACAGAAAAUAAACCGCUUUCUAGUUGAAAGUAAGGGUGAAAAGGCGAGGUAAGAGCUCACCGCUUUAUUGGUGACAAUAAAGGCAAAGUAAACCUUAGGGAUUGCAAGGCCAAGUAGGCAUGUCUAGCCUUUAAGUAGGCUGACAGGUUACUCGUCUGUUUCUGUACAGAAGGCAUGCGGGUAGGCUGCUAGAGACCAAAAGUGAUUUUGGUUCGAGAUAAAUGAUAAGCGUUGCACCUCUGGUGCAGUACAGAACCCGGCUUAUAGGCUUAUUUUUCUU
This 406-nucleotide RNase P RNA is filed under the name Amoebophilaceae bacterium. RNAcentral describes it as "RNase P RNA component class A". It matches the Rfam family "Bacterial RNase P class A". From Rfam's summary of the family: Ribonuclease P (RNase P) is a ubiquitous endoribonuclease, found in archaea, bacteria and eukarya as well as chloroplasts and mitochondria. Its best characterised activity is the generation of mature 5'-ends of tRNAs by cleaving the 5'-leader elements of precursor-tRNAs. The record is from RNAcentral. Lineage: Bacteria; Pseudomonadati; Bacteroidota; Cytophagia; Cytophagales; Amoebophilaceae.